CAAGUCGAACGGCAGCACGGGAGCAAUCCUGGUGGCGAGUGGCGAACGGGUGAGUAAUAUAUCGGAACGUGCCCAGUCGUGGGGGAUAACGCAGCGAAAGCUGUGCUAAUACCGCAUACGAUCUAUGGAUGAAAGCGGGGGACCGUAAGGCCUCGCGCGAUUGGAGCGGCCGAUAUCAGAUUAGCUAGUUGGUGGGGUAAAAGCCCACCAAGGCGACGAUCUGUAGCUGGUCUGAGAGGACGACCAGCCACACUGGAACUGAGACACGGUCCAGACUCCUACGGGAGGCAGCAGUGGGGAAUUUUGGACAAUGGGCGCAAGCCUGAUCCAGCAAUGCCGCGUGCAGGAUGAAGGCCUUCGGGUUGUAAACUGCUUUUGUACGGAACGAAACGGUUCGCUUUAAUACAGUGGGCUAAUGACGGUACCGUAAGAAUAAGCACCGGCUAACUACGUGCCAGCAGCCGCGGUAAUACGUAGGGUGCGAGCGUUAAUCGGAAUUACUGGGCGUAAAGCGUGCGCAGGCGGUGAUGUAAGACAGAUGUGAAAUCCCCGGGCUCAACCUGGGACCUGCAUUUGUGACUGCAUCGCUAGAGUACGGUAGAGGGGGAUGGAAUUCCGCGUGUAGCAGUGAAAUGCGUAGAUAUGCGGAGGAACACCGAUGGCGAAGGCAAUCCCCUGGACCUGUACUGACGCUCAUGCACGAAAGCGUGGGGAGCAAACAGGAUUAGAUACCCUGGUAGUCCACGCCCUAAACGAUGUCAACUGGAUGUUGGGUCUUCACUGACUCAGUAACGAAGCUAACGCGUGAAGUUGACCGCCUGGGGAGUACGGGCCGCAAGGGUUGAAACUCAAAGGAAUUGACGG
RNAcentral lists this ribosomal RNA (864 nucleotides) under uncultured bacterium. Its description in RNAcentral is "bacterial SSU rRNA". It matches the Rfam family "Bacterial small subunit ribosomal RNA", at positions 58 to 916 of the family's 1533-position model. The record is from RNAcentral.